ACGGGGUGCAGCAGGCGCGAAACCUUCACAAUGUGCGAAAGCGCGAUGAGGGGAUCCCAAGUGCUUGCUCGUAAGAGUAAGCUGUUUUUAUGUCUAAAACGCAUAGAGAGUAAGGGCUGGGUAAGACGGGUGCCAGCCGCCGCGGUAAUACCUGCAGCUCAAGUGGUGACCGCUAUUAUUGGGCCUAAAACAUUCGUAGCCGGUUUGGUAAAUGCCUGGGUAAAUCGUGUAGCUUAACUAUACGAAUUCCGGGUAGACUGCCAAACUUGAGACCGGGAGAAGCUAGAGGUACUCCUUGGGUAGAGGUGAAAUUCUGUAAUCCUAGGGGGACCACCAGUGGCGAAGGCGUCUAGCUAGAACGGGUUUGACGGUGAGGAAUGAAGCCCUGGGGCGCAAACCGGAUUAGAUACCCGGGUAGUCCAGGGUGUAAACGCUGCUUGCUUGAUGUUAGUUGGGCUCCGAGCCCAAUUAGUGUCGGAGAGAAGUUGUUAAGCAAGCUGCCUGGGAAGUACGAUCGCAAGA
RNAcentral lists this ribosomal RNA (522 nucleotides) under uncultured archaeon. RNAcentral's name for it is "bacterial SSU rRNA". It matches the Rfam family "Archaeal small subunit ribosomal RNA", at positions 325 to 848 of the family's 1478-position model. The record is from RNAcentral.